Alosa sapidissima (American shad) is the source of this 319-nucleotide long non-coding RNA. RefSeq lists it as uncharacterized. The transcript is spliced from 3 exons. The record is from RefSeq and is a predicted model, not a curated record. Lineage: Eukaryota; Metazoa; Chordata; Actinopteri; Clupeiformes; Clupeidae.
GGAUCCCGCCUUCCAUUAAAUCACAACAUGAUCUCAGCUAGAGACACAGCAAAACCUCCUCUGCUCCUCUUCCAGAACCUCAAGGGGCGAAUCAGACAAAACAAUAUUACAACCCCUCAAUACAGAUGGCUUAACAGAAAUAAACCGUGAUGCAGGAAUAGAGGGGAUGCAGGCAAACCAAUGAGUCACUGUUGCAAAAACAUCAAUGAGAUCUUCAGUCCAGCUUACCAUGUGAGGACACUGUCAGUCAUCUUUGGCUCACCAAGCCAAACCACAAGUUCCUCUGCAAGACAUCGACAAAGGACCUUGUGUUGCACCA